Non-coding RNA from Manis javanica (Malayan pangolin), 3499 nucleotides. The record is from RefSeq and is a predicted model, not a curated record. NCBI's taxonomy places the organism in Eukaryota, Metazoa, Chordata, Mammalia, Pholidota, Manidae.
UAAUGUAAGCUAGAGACAAAAAAUGUUUUUUCAAAUUAUUGCAGAUCUCUCCCACAUUUUUCAAUGUAUUAUUGAAAAAAAUCUACUUAUAAGUGGACCUACAGAGUUUAAACCCGUGUUGCUCAAGAGUCAACUGUAAGCAAUUACUGCAGAGAAUUUUAGUAAUAUCAAUUAUCAUGGUGAGGUUUCCAGAAGAGAAUAGUUUUAAGAAUUGGAACGGUAAUAUUUUGGCCCUGGAGAAGACUUAGAGGUCACUAAAUCAUCUGAACUUUCAGCCACUGAACUCAUGUAUCCUCUCUGUAACAUCCUAGAUAGGUCUGAGAUGGAAGUGUCUGGAAUUACUGUUUCAUUUUACUAAGCUAUGCUUCGUCAUUCAUAAUGUAAAUCAUUUGAUCUUUUCCAUUGAGAGUCAAAAGUAUCCUUAAGGGUGACUAAUACUGAGUUGGCUUGGGAGUCCUGGAGAAUGCUAGAGCCCUUCUCAGCUUCUUAGAUGCCCUUUCUCUUGGAUGCUAAACUAUUGUUUACUGUGCUUACUGAAGUUGGCGUAGGCACAAAACUCUUCAAAAUGAUCCAUUUUUCAAAUAUACAAUGGCUAUACGAGUUUUUCAAUGCACUUUGGAUAGAGCUAUGGUAACAUGUCAUCACUCAAAGCAUUAACAUUAGUCCAGUAAUAUCUCAAAUUGUAUAUUACACAAAACAUUUCUGUAAGUACCUAGGUUUAUAAAAUGUUUGUAUUUCAGUGAACUUGUCAGUUAAGAAGGGGUGAAAUUAUUAACCUAGUUUUACAGAUAAGGACUUUAACGCUGGGAGGAAAUUUGAUUUUCCCAUUUAUUGGUAAAGUUAGAACUAGAAUCUAAAUUCCUGAUUCUGUUAGCUCAUUCUGCUGUCUUUUCCAUGCUCACUGUGUAAAAACAAGUGGGCAUGCCAUGGCAGCUAGUGAGGCAUCGGUGUUCUUCUGCUCAUGCCUUUUGCUCUGAUGAAGCAUUCAGUUGAAAAAACAGUCCUUAUUUUCAUACUUAGAUUUUACAGGAAGUUUCAUUUGAAAUUGUUUUGAAUGAAAGAUAAUCUAGCCAAUUUCUUAAUUGCAUUCCAUUCCUAUGGUUUAGAAACAAUGUUGUUGCAUUUAUAAGGAAUGUAUAUAGCCCAAAUAUACAAAAGUGAAUUCAAAUUGUGUUGGAUUUUGAUUAUUUUAGUAUACUAGUUUAUCAUAACUUAGCUAUCUGUAGAGAACAGUUGGCCUUUUAUUAUAGUGUCCCCUCCAGCUCCAUCCCUGCUAAAAUUAAGUGGAAAGGAUUCUAAUUAUAUAGUCUCGUUUUUGGGAAAAUUGGGAAGGCAAGGUAGAAAUCUAAAUGAUGCAUGUUACUCUUAGAGCUAGGAAACUAGAGCCAGGUCUCAUGGCACUCUAAUUAAAACUUUUAUUUCUGCAGAUUUAUUCUGUGGUCCUUACUGAACAGAUCUGCCUUGGGUUUCUGCUGGUGAGUUUUUCAGCAGGAAUGUGGGCUUUGUUUCUUUGAAUAGUUGAGUGCAGAUUAGUGGUAUGCCAAUUUCCUGUGGCCUUUCAGAGCUGCAAUUUGAGCCCUGUUUGCUCCUGGCCCUUGCACAAUUGAAAACAAUGGGUGACUUCUUUAAGGUUUCACUUCAGGGCUCUUGGAAACAGGGGAAGUGGCUAAAGCCCUACUUUACAGGUAAUUAACAAUAGAUAAUGUUUGCUCUGCAUUUUUCAGAGCCGAUAAAAGGUAGAAGAACAUAUUCAGCUCCUGAUUUAGACACUGUGCAGUGGUUUUAUGGAUACAAUAGCUGUCUUAGCAUUAGCAAGGUGGCAUUGAAUAUCUGGGUCACAUAUAUGAGUUCAAAACCUUUAAAGCACAGGAAGAGAAAACAAUAUUAAAACAGUGAUGGCUAACAAAAAAAGGACUACUUUUAGGGAUGCUAGAUAAACUGUGUCACUUUAAGCCAUGCAUUUGUGCUCAGGGUGCAUUUAUUAUAUCUAUAUAUGCUUUAUGAAGUGAGUUUUCAUAACUUGAUACUUAUUUAAUAUAUUUUUUAUGUUCUUAAAUUCAACUCUAGAAUCUACCUGUUCAUUACAAUAAUUCCAGCUUAAGUUAUUAUUUGCCAUAUCUAGUUAUUAGCUAUAAAUAUUCUUAUGAAAUGGUCUUACAUAGUUAACAUGUGGGAAAUAGUGUAUCUUGUCCUUUUAUUGUUUAUUUGGUAGUGAUAGGGUUUUUGUUUUAAUACUGUGAAUAAAUAAUAUUUUUUUAGACUUCCUUUCUCUCUGAAACAUACUAUAUCCACUUUGGGAUAAGGUAGGUUUGUAGCAGAACUGACAGACUAAUUGAUUUAUUCAGUCUUCAACAAUUAUAAAAUACUCUGUCCCACAUAGUGAUCAAAGCACUAAGGACAGAAAAAUGAAGAGGGGCCCUGUCCUUAAGGAGAUUAUGGCAAUCUUUCACAGCACAGUUGUCAGAAAAGGUGGAAGCUUCUCUGGAAAAAAGACACUUUUUGAAUCGUAAGUGAAGUAACUUCUUCAGAGUACAGCAUUCCCCCACGAAAACUCUGGCAUUUUUCUUCUUUUCCGAUGAAAGAUCUCAUUUGCUGAAACAACUGAUGCACUUGGGAAGAAGUGAUAGCCCUACUUUGAUUUCAUUUAAUUGACCUUUUACAAUGACUCCUAGACAGGAAGAAGACGGCCAUCUGUGAGCUAGGAAGUGGGCUCUUACCAAACAUCCAAUCUGCUGGUGCCUUUAUUUUGGACAUCCCAGUCUCCAGAACUGUUUCUGGUUUCUCCACCCAGUCACCCUACACUCCUCCACUCCCGGCACCCCGUCCUUCCGUCCUCCACCCAGACUCUCAGAGGCCCGACAUUCCAGGUAACCCGACUCCGCAGACACGGAGGCCCACGUGACCCGCCCCGCCCGCCGCGUGAGCGCCCGCCGCCUUCCGGAAACCUGGGGCAGACACUAGAGAGAUCACUUGCCACAGGGCACACGGUGUGCUGACAGUCAGACUGCUCCUAAGGUCUGGUUGGACUCGAAGGGAAUGAGCGGCAUUUGCAAUCCCAAGUCUUUUUAACACCCAGUGAAGGUCCAAACUCUGAAAUUUCAUCUUGUGUGUGGGAACAAGCGUCUUCUGCCGUGAAUGAACUGCUCAGCGACCUCAGUGUGUGAUUCUCUUGUUCUUUAUGCCCCCGGAUUGAUGAGGCCAGGAACUCUUGUCAAGUGAUCAACCUUUGGUUCCUUGGGAAAAUGGACCUCCACACAAAGUCACCUGAGAUUUGGAUGGAAAUGCUCCUGAAGAGAAGGCUUCUGUCUCCAGCAAUGUGAGCCCUAAAACCUUUGAAGGAAAUGAUAAUAUUCCACUUCCUUCUGUGUACUUUAUUGCUUUGUAUAAAUAUGUGAAAAGUGGCAUUUUCAGCUGUAAGGUCCCACAUCCAGAUCAUUUUGAAGCAAAGUCGAAACAUCAUAUCACUUCAUCUGUAAAUAUUUCAGUAUGUGCCUAAAAG